Tupaia belangeri (northern tree shrew) is the source of this 107-nucleotide small nuclear RNA. The record is from Ensembl. NCBI's taxonomy places the organism in Eukaryota, Metazoa, Chordata, Mammalia, Scandentia, Tupaiidae.
GUGUUCACUUCAGCAGCACAUGUUCUAAAGUUAGAAUGAUAUAGAGAAGAUUGGCGUGGUCCCUGUGCAAGGAUGAUAUGGAGAUUCAUGAAAUAUUCCAUAGUGUA